RNAcentral lists this ribosomal RNA (727 nucleotides) under Streptomyces sp. Its description in RNAcentral is "bacterial SSU rRNA". It matches the Rfam family "Bacterial small subunit ribosomal RNA", at positions 137 to 876 of the family's 1533-position model. Lineage: Bacteria; Bacillati; Actinomycetota; Actinomycetes; Kitasatosporales; Streptomycetaceae. The record is from RNAcentral.
UCUGGGACAAGCCCUGGAAACGGGGUCUAAUACCGGAUAAUACUGUGCCCCUCAUGGGGGAUGGUUGAAAGCUCCGGCGGUGCAGGAUGAGCCCGCGGCCUAUCACCUUGUUGGUGGGGUAAUGGCCUACCAAGGCGACGACGGGUAGCCGGCCUGAGAGGGCGACCGGCCACACUGGGACUGAGACACGGCCCAGACUCCUACGGGAGGCAGCAGUGGGGAAUAUUGCACAAUGGGCGAAAGCCUGAUGCAGCGACGCCGCGUGAGGGAUGACGGCCUUCGGGUUGUAAACCUCUUUCAGCAGGGAAGAAGCGAAAGUGACGGUACCUGCAGAAGAAGCGCCGGCUAACUACGUGCCAGCAGCCGCGGUAAUACGUAGGGCGCAAGCGUUGUCCGGAAUUAUUGGGCGUAAAGAGCUCGUAGGCGGUCUGUCACGUCGGGUGUGAAAGCCCGGGGCUUAACCCCGGGUCUGCAUUCGAUACGGGCAGACUAGAGUGUGGUAGGGGAGAUCGGAAUUCCUGGUGUAGCGGUGAAAUGCGCAGAUAUCAGGAGGAACACCGGUGGCGAAGGCGGAUCUCUGGGCCAUUACUGACGCUGAGGAGCGAAAGCGUGGGGAGCGAACAGGAUUAGAUACCCUGGUAGUCCACGCCGUAAACGUUGGGAACUAGGUGUUGGCGACAUUCCACGUCGUCGGUGCCGCAGCUAACGCAUUAAGUUCCCCGCCUGG